This 479-nucleotide ribosomal RNA is filed under the name uncultured bacterium. Its description in RNAcentral is "partial 16S ribosomal RNA". It matches the Rfam family "Bacterial small subunit ribosomal RNA", at positions 28 to 507 of the family's 1533-position model. The record is from RNAcentral.
GAUGAACGCUAGCGGGAGGCCUAACACAUGCCAGCCGAGCGGUAGAGUUUCUUCGGAAACUUGAGAGCGGCGCACGGGUGCGUAACACGUGUGCAACCUACCUUUAUCUGGGGGAUAGCCUUUCGAAAGGAAGAUUAAUACCCCAUAAUAUAAUGAUUGGCAUCAAUUAUUAUUGAAAACCCCGGUGGAUAGAGAUGGGCACGCGCAAGAUUAGAUAGUUGGUGAGGUAACGGCUCACCAAGUCAAUGAUCUUUAGGGGUCCUGAGAGGGAGAUCCCCCACACUGGUACUGAGACACGGACCAGACUCCUACGGGAGGCAGCAGUGAGGAAUAGUGGACAAUGGGUGAGAGCCUGAUCCAGCCAUCCCGCGUGAAGGAUGACGGUCCUAUGGAUGGUAAACUUCUUUUGUACAGGGAUAAACCUACCCUCGUGAGGGUAGCUGAAGGUACUGUACGAAUAAGCACCGGCUAACUCCGUG